GAUGAACGCUGGCGGCGUGCCUAAUACAUGCAAGUCGAGCGAACAGACGAGGAGUUUGCUCCUCUGCCGUUAGCGGCGGACGGGUGAUUACCACGGGGAUAACCUACCUAUAAGAAUGGGAUACCUUCAGGAAACCGGAGUCAAGACCGGAUAAUAUAUAGAACCUCACGGUUCAACAGUGAAAGACGGUUCAGCUGAAACUUCUACGUGGAUCCACGCCGCAUCAGCUAGUUGGUAAGGUAACGGCGUACCAAGGCAACGAUGCGUAGCGGACCUGAUAGUGUGAUCGGCCACACUGGAACUGAGACACGGUCCAGACUCCUACGGUAGGCAGCAGUAGGGAAUCUUCCGCAAUGGGCGAGAGCCUGACGGAGCAACGCCGCGUGAGUGAUGAAGGUCUUCGGAUCGUAAAGCUCUGUUAUUAGGGAAGAACUAAUGUGUAAGUAACUAUGCACGUCUUGACGGUACCUAAUCAGAAAGCCCCGGCUAACUACGUG
Molecule: ribosomal RNA, 497 nt
Filed under: uncultured bacterium
Lineage: Bacteria
Description: partial 16S ribosomal RNA
Rfam family: Bacterial small subunit ribosomal RNA
Source: RNAcentral